RNAcentral lists this ribosomal RNA (253 nucleotides) under uncultured bacterium. RNAcentral's name for it is "partial 16S ribosomal RNA". It matches the Rfam family "Bacterial small subunit ribosomal RNA", at positions 524 to 776 of the family's 1533-position model. The record is from RNAcentral.
UACAGAGGUCUCAAGCGUUGUUCGGAUUCAUUGGGCGUAAAGGGUGUGUAGGCGGCGCGCUAAGUCGGGUGUGAAAUUUCGGAGCUUAACUCCGAAACUGCAUUCGAUACUGGCGUGCUUGAGGACUGGAGAGGAGACUGGAAUUCAUGGUGUAGCAGUGAAAUGCGUAGAGAUCAUGAGGAAGACCAGUGGCGAAGGCGGGUCUCUGGACAGUUCCUGACACUGAGGCACGAAGGCCAGGGGAGCAAACGGG